UUAGUUCAUGGUGGAAUAUGUAAC
Molecule: non-coding RNA, 24 nt
Filed under: Arabidopsis thaliana (thale cress)
Lineage: Eukaryota; Viridiplantae; Streptophyta; Magnoliopsida; Brassicales; Brassicaceae
Source: RNAcentral